This 254-nucleotide ribosomal RNA is filed under the name uncultured bacterium. RNAcentral describes it as "partial 16S ribosomal RNA". It matches the Rfam family "Bacterial small subunit ribosomal RNA", at positions 524 to 776 of the family's 1533-position model. The record is from RNAcentral.
GACGAACCGUGCGAACGUUAUUCGGAAUCACUGGGCUUAAAGCGCGUGUAGGCGGGGCGGCACGUCGGGCGCUGUAAGCCCCCGGCUCAACCGGGGAACGGGCGCCGAUACGACCGCCCUCGAGGGACGUAGGGGGACCUGGAACUUCCGGUGGAGCGGUGAAAUGCGUUGAGAUCGGAAGGAACGCCCGUGGCGAAAGCGAGGUCCUGGACGUCUGCUGACGCUGAGACGCGAAAGCCAGGGGAGCGAACGGG